This 799-nucleotide small RNA is filed under the name Pongo abelii (Sumatran orangutan). Its description in RNAcentral is "retained intron". The record is from RNAcentral. Lineage: Eukaryota; Metazoa; Chordata; Mammalia; Primates; Hominidae.
CCUUGAGCAUGGACAGCCUGGAUCUGCUGGCAAAGAGCUCCUGGGAAGGUGCUGCUGGAUGCAGUUUGCAACCACCUCAACCUCGUGGAAGGUGACUAUUUUGGCCUCGAGUUUCCUGAUCACAAAAAGAUCACGGUGUGGCUGGAUCUCCUAAAACCCAUUGUGAAACAGAUCAGAAGGCCAAAGCAUGUUGUUGUUAAGUUUGUGGUGAAAUUCUUUCCGCCUGACCACACACAACUCCAAGAAGAACUCACAAGGUACCUGUUCGCGCUGCAGGUGAAGCAGGACUUGGCUCAAGGCAGGUUGACGUGUAACGACACCAGCGCAGCUCUCUUGAUUUCACACAUUGUGCAAUCUGAGAUUGGGGAUUUUGAUGAAGCCUUGGACAGAGAGCACUUAGCAAAAAAUAAAUACAUACCUCAGCAAGACGCACUAGAGGACAAAAUCGUGGAAUUUCACCAUAACCACAUUGGACAAACACCAGCAGAAUCAGAUUUCCAGCUCCUAGAGAUUGCCCGUCGGCUAGAGAUGUAUGGAAUCCGGCUGCACCCGGCCAAGGACAGGGAAGGCACGAAGAUCAAUCUGGCCGUUGCCAACACGGGAAUUCUAGUGUUUCAGGUGAGAGCCUUGAGAACACGGCCCGGUUCCCUUGGUGAUAGAGAGAGAAGAACUGGCCCUUCAACUCUGAUUCAUAUUCAGUGGGCCAAGACCUCUGAUUGUUAUUUUUCGGCAAACAAAGAAAAAUUAACCUCAUCUCAGGCUUUCUGUUUCCUAGGCCCUCAGCUCCCAGAUUCUAUUU